GACGAACGCUGGCGGCGUGCUUAACACAUGCAAGUCGAACGGAAAGGCCCUGCUUUUGUGGGGUGCUCGAGUGGCGAACGGGUGAGUAACACGUGAGUAACCUGCCCUUGACUUUGGGAUAACUUCAGGAAACUGGGGCUAAUACCGGAUAGGAGCUCCUGCUGCAUGGUGGGGGUUGGAAAGUUUCGUCGGUUGGGGCUGGACUCGCGGCUUAUCAGCUUGUUGGUGGGGUAGUGGCUUACCAGGGCUUUGACGGGUAGCCGGCCGGGGAGGGUGACCGGCACCAUGGGACUGGGGUGCCGGCCCGGAGCCCACCGGGAGGCAGAGGGGGGGAUUUUGGCCAAAGGGGCGGAAUCAGUAGCGAACACCCCCGCGGCGGGAAGAUCGGCUUUGGGGUUGUAACCCCUUUUCCCCUUAGAGGGGAGGUGGUGAGGGUAAAUGGUUAAAGAAGCAGCGGCAAACUCAGG
Molecule: ribosomal RNA, 467 nt
Filed under: uncultured bacterium
Lineage: Bacteria
Description: partial 16S ribosomal RNA
Rfam family: Bacterial small subunit ribosomal RNA
Source: RNAcentral